Molecule: long non-coding RNA, 796 nt
Filed under: Mus caroli (Ryukyu mouse)
Lineage: Eukaryota; Metazoa; Chordata; Mammalia; Rodentia; Muridae
Description: predicted gene 17226 (MGP_CAROLIEiJ_G0004196.1)
Source: RNAcentral
UGGAAGCCGCAUCUCCACCCCGCGGGCUCUGCGGCAGCGCCGCGCUUUCUUCGGACUUGUAGGGCGGUUGCUCUAGUUGCUUCCUAGCAAGGCAAUAGUCUUCUGGGGAUAGAUGGGAGUCUUCUCUCCCUUAAAAGUGUUUUUCUUUUAUAAUUUUUAAAUUAAAAAUUCCUCCUGGGGACGACAGACCUGAGGGAGAAAAGAGGAUCCGCUGUUUCGGGACCAUCACUGGUCCAGCCGGCCACCUUUCUCCCUGGUGGGCCUGAGCCUUUGUUCGGCAGGGUCCAAGUUAGGGAGAACGGGUAGGAAAUGAGCACCUGGGUUUGGAUAAACUCUAUGCGGACUUUCCCACCCGCGCCGCCUGUAGAAAACUCGAUGUUGCAGGCCUCGCUGCCUGAGAUCUAUCUAAUUCAGGCGCGGCGGUCCAACUGCUAAGAGCCGAAGCUGCUGGGCUGGGAAAUGGUUGCAGUCAAGAGCAUCCGCACAGGCUCUGCAGAAAGUCGGGGGUUAGAAAGGCUGCUCGGAGAUGCCUCCGCGCUGGAAACAGUCUGGCACCUCACUCCACAGCCCGAUUCCUGUAGCUUUUGACCCCGCCUCCACCUUUAGAGCGCUAGUGCUCUCUGGACCCAGAGUUUUGCCACAGCCUACAACCCGCUUGACAACAGGCCGACCCUUCCCCAUCUUUCCUACUAGCGCCCCAGCCGCUCUGGCUCUGGGGCUGGUUAAGUUUGCAUGACUGUAUCUCUGCUGGUAAACCACAAACCAUGAGGGAAGUAAGGGGUCCUGCAUCAGCGCU